Molecule: ribosomal RNA, 497 nt
Filed under: uncultured bacterium
Lineage: Bacteria
Description: partial 16S ribosomal RNA
Rfam family: Bacterial small subunit ribosomal RNA
Source: RNAcentral
GAUGAACGCUGGCGGCGUGCCUAAUACAUGCAAGUCGAGCGAACGGACGAGAAGCUUGCUUCUCUGAUGUUAGCGGCGGACGGGUGAGUAGCACGUGGAUAACCUACCUAUAAGACUGGGAUAACUUCGGGAAACCGGAGCUAAUACCGGAUAAUAUUUUGAACCGCAUGGUUCAAAAGUGAAAGACGGUCUUGCUGUCACUUAUAGAUGGAUCCGCGCUGCAUUAGCUAGUUGGUAAGGUAACGGCUUACCAAGGCAACGAUGCAUAGCCGACCUGAGAGGGUGAUCGGCCACACUGGAACUGAGACACGGUCCAGACUCCUACGUGAGGCAGCAGUAGGGAAUCUUCCGCAAUGGGCGAAAGCCUGACGGAGCAACGCCGCGUGAGUGAUGAAGGUCUUCGGAUCGUAAAACUCUGUUAUUAGGGAAGAACAUAUGUGUAAGUAACUGUGCACAUCUUGACGGUACCUAAUCAGAAAGCCACGGCUAACUACGUG